This is a long non-coding RNA of Thalassophryne amazonica, 161 nucleotides long. RefSeq lists it as uncharacterized. NCBI's taxonomy places the organism in Eukaryota, Metazoa, Chordata, Actinopteri, Batrachoidiformes, Batrachoididae. The transcript is spliced from 2 exons. The record is from RefSeq and is a predicted model, not a curated record.
AAAAAUCAUACAUUUCUGACAUUUUACAAAUUUUUGGUUUGAAGUAGGAAAUGUACAUGAGCCCUGAAAUGCUCAUAUCGCCCACUAGAUGGCGACAAAAGCUGCUUAAAUGUGCGGCAAGGUCUCAACUGUUUCUUCAUUUGAGAAGUUAACAUUUUUUG